GGAAGUCGGUGGUCAAUUCAGAAGACCUGGGAAAAGGAGGCCUCCUUACCAUGGUAGCUUGUUCAAAAGCAUAAGCAAUCUCAAUGAGCUUGGCUCAGUACCCUUAAGCCCACCAAAACAGACCCCAAAUGGCAUUCCAUUGCCAUCAUACCCAGCAGGGACUGUAAUUCCAGGAUAUCCCUCAAUUGCCAACACUGAGACAGCACCUGUACCAGGUGUCAC
Molecule: unclassified non-coding RNA, 222 nt
Filed under: Hevea brasiliensis (rubber tree)
Lineage: Eukaryota; Viridiplantae; Streptophyta; Magnoliopsida; Malpighiales; Euphorbiaceae
Source: RNAcentral